RNAcentral lists this ribosomal RNA (253 nucleotides) under uncultured bacterium. Its description in RNAcentral is "partial 16S ribosomal RNA". It matches the Rfam family "Bacterial small subunit ribosomal RNA", at positions 524 to 776 of the family's 1533-position model. The record is from RNAcentral.
UACAGAGGUGGCAAGCGUUGUUCGGAAUUACUGGGCGUAAAGGGCGCGUAGGCGGCCAUCUAAGUCAGACGUGAAAUCCCCCGGCUUAACCUGGGAACUGCGUCUGAUACUGGACGGCUUGAGUUUGGGAGAGGGAUGCAGAAUUCCAGGUGUAGCGGUGAAAUGCGUAGAUAUCUGGAGGAAUACCGGUGGCGAAGGCGGCAUCCUGGACCAACACUGACGCUGAUGCGCGAAAGCCAGGGGAGCAAACGGG